GUACUUUGUGUGGCGUUAGUGUUCCAUUACUGGCCCCUCUAAGUAAUGGUCUUCACAGUGCACAGCAAGUUCCCAGUGUGUAGAAAGCCAUACACCAGGAUGUGGGUCAACCAUGAAGAUGUGGCAUUGCAGACAGGGGAACAUGUGGAUGCAUGGCUAUCACCUUGAGCAGCCCCUGCAGUUGCUUGUGUUAACACAAAAGUGUUUAGCAUUCUGCCGCUUUUAUAUUUAUGUAAUAACUCUUUAAAGCCAUUCAGAUGGAUAACUAUUUAAUUUCUUAAAGACAGUUGUAAAGGUCUCUCUCUGAGGACAAUGACUUGGUAAAACUGGGGCACAGCCAGUCCCAGACACUGGUCGUGGCUACAGUGGCUUUUUGGGCUCAGGAUCAACACGCAUCAGAGUAGACUGGGCCAACAUGUGGUGGCGUGUGCAAACAGGCUGCCCUAGACCAGCCCAGGCCCUUUGACAGCACGUCCUCUGCACCAAGGCCCCUCCCUUCUGGAAGUGGAAAACUUCACAAGGAAAUUGGAGCCAUCUUUUAUCCCAGAAGCCUUUGCUGCUGCCAGGGCAAGUGGGCUGGUGUGGACUCUUGUUUGGGGAUGUUUGGAGGCUGAGGUUAUAUCACUCCUUAGCUAGCCAGGCCUUUAGUAUCUUUGUAAAAAGCAUGUAUUUAUAGUGUUUUAGAUUUUUUCUAACUUUUGUAUUUUACAGCAUUGUACCCCAUUGUUAAAGAGCCAUGUCCCCUCUUCUUAUAAGCGCCCUUCUAAUAAACUUUUCACCGUAAAGCUCCUGAGCCAGGAGCGCGGUCUG
This 810-nucleotide long non-coding RNA is filed under the name Rattus norvegicus (Norway rat). RNAcentral's name for it is "long non-coding RNA NONRATT028680". The record is from RNAcentral. Lineage: Eukaryota; Metazoa; Chordata; Mammalia; Rodentia; Muridae.